AUUGAACGCUGGCGGCAGGCCUAACACAUGCAAGUCGAGCGGAUGAAGGGAGCUUGCUCCUGGAUUCAGCGGCGGACGGGUGAGUAAUGCCUAGGAAUCUGCCUGGUAGUGGGGGAUAACGUCCGGAAACGGGCGCUAAUACCGCAUACGUCCUGAGGGAGAAAGUGGGGGAUCUUCGGACCUCACGCUAUCAGAUGAGCCUAGGUCGGAUUAGCUAGUUGGUGGGGUAAAGGCCUACCAAGGCGACGAUCCGUAACUGGUCUGAGAGGAUGAUCAGUCACACUGGAACUGAGACACGGUCCAGACUCCUACGGGAGGCAGCAGUGGGGAAUAUUGGACAAUGGGCGAAAGCCUGAUCCAGCCAUGCCGCGUGUGUGAAGAAGGUCUUCGGAUUGUAAAGCACUUUUAGUUGGGAGGAAGGGCAGUAAGUUAAUACCUUGCUGUUUUGACGUUACCAACAGAAUAAGCACCGGCUAACCUCGUG
Molecule: ribosomal RNA, 484 nt
Filed under: uncultured bacterium
Lineage: Bacteria
Description: partial 16S ribosomal RNA
Rfam family: Bacterial small subunit ribosomal RNA
Source: RNAcentral